AUUAUAAAUCAAGGAAUCAUCAAGUCAGGUUGUCUGUAGAAUUAAGCAAAAGGCCAGUUUGCAUUUACGCUCCCGCAUAUCCGCUAUACGCAGGGUCCCAGAAGGGCCCGACCACAAGGACCUAUUGUAAGCUUCUCGAAUAUGGAAACAAAAGGCUCUCUCUAGUGCAACAAACAUCAUUACGAUCAGUUUAGUGUAUUCAUUUUCUCUCCAGGACCAUGAUUAUAG
This 228-nucleotide unclassified non-coding RNA is filed under the name Hevea brasiliensis (rubber tree). The record is from RNAcentral. Lineage: Eukaryota; Viridiplantae; Streptophyta; Magnoliopsida; Malpighiales; Euphorbiaceae.